Long non-coding RNA from Impatiens glandulifera, 390 nucleotides. RefSeq lists it as uncharacterized. The transcript is spliced from 3 exons. The record is from RefSeq and is a predicted model, not a curated record. NCBI's taxonomy places the organism in Eukaryota, Viridiplantae, Streptophyta, Magnoliopsida, Ericales, Balsaminaceae.
CACAAAACAAAGGGAUCGAUCAACUCCCCGAGGAAACGUUGUUCGCCUUCAUCAUUUCAGAAUUGUAGAAAGAGAAAACUGCGCAGCCGCGGAGGACUCUGUCCGUGAAGAAGGUCAUCCGAUGGUUUCUUGCGAGGAUAAACCCUGAGUUCGAUCCGUUGUGAGACGCGAGAGUUUUCCAUCCGAGCCUAGAAGUCUUUUCUACCGAUUGAAGGAUCAGGAAAACGAGGAGCUUAUAGACAGGAGCCAAGCCAGUCUUUCAGUAGCUCCGGUUCUUCCAAAAUUUCAAGUCAAGGAUUUGGAAAGCAUCUCCAUUUAAACUCUCAGGGAAUUCCUUUUCCCUCCAUCAUUGCAUUCUAUUGCUAUUGUUGUCGAAACCUAGGUAAGAUG